CAGGCAGCUGCUCCCAACCCCAGAACCUUUGCUGUCUUGGGACGGAUCACCGCUGCAAGAGGGGAAGUUGCUACUGUGAUGAAUUCUGCCAUGUGGCACCAGACUGCCACCCAGACCACAGUGUCCUCUGCAACCCUGCUUCUCAGAUGACCAAGAUGGUGCUGCAGAUGGUGCUGAGGAUGGAGAACCCACCAAGCCCCGCUAGGAGCCACCUAGACUGGAUGCAGAGCAUGGUUCAGCGAGUUCUCCAAACCAGCCUCCCAGGAAUGCCAUUCACCAUGGCUGUGAGGAGAAUAAAGAAGAGAGCCUGACUCCUCUCCUGAGGCCCCUUCCCCACCCUGAGCCAGCAGGAUCCACGGAGCAGAGGUCAUCUGUCCCCAGCUUGGCCCACUGAGGCCAGCAUGGCUGGGCCCAGGAUGCUUGUCUCUCAGCUCCCAUCCUGUGUACUUCCACAUUGGUUUAACCAGAGGAAAACCGAAAUCUACAAUUGUCAUAAACACAUUUAAAUGUGCGUAGAAUCAGCCAUACAAAUUGUGAAACAUA
RNAcentral lists this unclassified non-coding RNA (543 nucleotides) under Homo sapiens (human). Its description in RNAcentral is "MUC20 overlapping transcript (ENSG00000281603.2)". The record is from RNAcentral. Lineage: Eukaryota; Metazoa; Chordata; Mammalia; Primates; Hominidae.